CUUAAAUGCCUAAACUCCUAUUAAUUGAGAUCAACAGAGUUCCUACGUGCUCUAAAAGUUGUCAAUUGGGAUAAAUAGAGCAAAUAGUGAGUUCAGGAUGACUUAAUUAAUAUUAUUUGGAACUGACCUUUUAUUAAUUGGGACAUUUUGGUAACACUAAUAAUGGGUCAAUAGCUCCGGUAGAACAAAUAUUACAAGUUAGUGCCACUUGAGAUAUUUGUUACUACCACUUCACCACUUUCUAACCACACAAAUAAGCAUGGCCACUUGUUA
RNAcentral lists this long non-coding RNA (273 nucleotides) under Lathyrus oleraceus (garden pea). Its description in RNAcentral is "Pisum sativum (pea) long non-coding RNA (PSAT_LNC024380)". The record is from RNAcentral. Lineage: Eukaryota; Viridiplantae; Streptophyta; Magnoliopsida; Fabales; Fabaceae.